RNAcentral lists this ribosomal RNA (453 nucleotides) under uncultured bacterium. RNAcentral describes it as "bacterial SSU rRNA". It matches the Rfam family "Bacterial small subunit ribosomal RNA", at positions 29 to 507 of the family's 1533-position model. The record is from RNAcentral.
AACGAACGCUGGCGGCAUGCCUAACACAUGCAAGUCGAACGAAGCCUUCGGGCUUAGUGGCGCACGGGUGCGUAACGCGUGGGAACCUACCAUCAGGUUCGGAAUAACAGUUAGAAAUGACUGCUAAUACCGGAUAAUGUCUUCGGACCAAAGAUUUAUCGCCUUUUGAUGGGCCCGCGUUGGAUUAGCUAGUUGGUGGGGUAAAGGCCUACCAAGGCGACGAUCCAUAGCUGGUCUGAGAGGAUGAUCAGCCACACUGGGACUGAGACACGGACCCAACUCCUACGGGAGGCAGCAGUAAGGAAUAUUGGACAAUGGACGAAAGUCUGAUCCAGCCAUGCCGCGUGCAGGAUGAAGGCGCUCAGCGUUGUAAACUGCUUUUGGAUGGGAAUAAUAACCUCGACGUGUCGGGGCUUGAAGGUACCAUCAGAAUAAGCACCGGCUAACUCCGUG